Molecule: long non-coding RNA, 1170 nt
Filed under: Panax ginseng (ginseng)
Lineage: Eukaryota; Viridiplantae; Streptophyta; Magnoliopsida; Apiales; Araliaceae
Description: long non-coding RNA (PGIN_LNC017770)
Source: RNAcentral
UCUGCUUGGAUGGGUUUUAAAGCACUCCAACUUGAUGAAAGACCAAAUCCUGGACUUGGUGCUAAGCUUGCUCUUUGCCGGCCAUGAAACUUCCUCGGUGUCCAUAGCAUUGGCAAUUUAUUUCUUGCAAGCCUCUCCUACUGCUGUUCAUCAAUUAAGGGUACAUAAUAAUAAUAAUCAGUUUUAUGAUAAUUUUUUCAACAGCUAGUCAACAUGUUGUAAUUGUGUUAUAAAUCCAGGAAGAACACACUGAAAUUGUUAGAGCCAAGAAGCAAUCAGGGGAGGUGGGAUUGAAAUGGGAUGACUACAAAAAAAUGGAAUUCACCCAAUGUGUAAGCUUUUUCUAUAUUACUCCAUUUAUCUUUUAAUUAAAUUACAAAUUUAACAUGCAUUGUUGAGGAAUUCUGUGUCAAGACAAGACCGAUCACAUGGACUUAAUCUUUGAAUUUGUCCAUUUUAUUAAUUUUAUUUUACCCUAAUGAUCAACGUUAAAGGCUCAACAAAUUUUACUAAUUAAUCAUUACUAUUUAUAAAGGUUAUAAGUGAAACUCUAAGGCUGGGCAAUGUGGUGAGGUUUCUCCAUAGAAAGGCUGUGAGAGAUGUUCGGUACAAAGGUAGACCAAUAUUGCAUUAAUAUAUAUAUAUAUAUAUAUAUAUACCAAAUUGACACUGCCCGGCCGCCCCGCCGGCAGUUUUUAUUUUGAUGGAGUAAUUAAUUAUGUACGUAUUUAUACAUGAAAAGGGUAUGACAUUCCAUGCGGGUGGAAAGUGCUGCCAGUGAUUGCAGCCGUGCAUUUGGAUCCUUCACUUUUUGACCAACCACAACUCUUUAAUCCUUGGAGAUGGCAGGUCGGUCGGUUCCCUUUUGUUUUUCGCUCAAUUUGGGCAUUCUUAGUGGAGUAGUAUAUACUACAACUAGAUCAUAGUGGAGCAUAUAUUAGAGUUAAAAAAAAGAGAGGGAAAUUAUAAAUUUUAGUAACAUAUAUGUUUUUGGUCGGUACUUACAGAAUACUAAUGGUGGAUCCACAUCCACAGCCUCAACAGCAGCAGGCAAUAUCUAUAUGCCAUUCGGGGGAGGACCACGACUCUGCGCAGGAUUGGAACUGGCAAAAUUGGAGAUGGCUAUUUUCAUCCACCAUUUAGUACUCAACUUCCAUUGGGAGUUAGCUG